This 621-nucleotide ribosomal RNA is filed under the name uncultured bacterium. RNAcentral describes it as "bacterial SSU rRNA". It matches the Rfam family "Bacterial small subunit ribosomal RNA", at positions 338 to 956 of the family's 1533-position model. The record is from RNAcentral.
CCUACGGGAGGCAGCAGUGGGGAAUUUUGGACAAUGGGCGAAAGCCUGAUCCAGCAAUGCCGCGUGAGUGAAGAAGGCCUUCGGGUUGUAAAGCUCUUUUGUCAGGGAAGAAACGGUGAGAGCUAAUAUCUCUUGCUAAUGACGGUACCUGAAGAAUAAGCACCGGCUAACUACGUGCCAGCAGCCGCGGUAAUACGUAGGGUGCAAGCGUUAAUCGGAAUUACUGGGCGUAAAGCGUGCGCAGGCGGUUUUGUAAGUCUGUCGUGAAAUCCCCGGGCUCAACCUGGGAAUUGCGAUGGAGACUGCAAGGCUAGAAUCUGGCAGAGGGGGGUAGAAUUCCACGUGUAGCAGUGAAAUGCGUAGAGAUGUGGAGGAACACCGAUGGCGAAGGCAGCCCCCUGGGUCAAGAUUGACGCUCAUGCACGAAAGCGUGGGGAGCAAACAGGAUUAGAUACCCUGGUAGUCCACGCCCUAAACGAUGUCUACUAGUUGUCGGGUUUUAAUUAACUUGGUAACACAGCUAACGCGUGAAGUAGACCGCCUGGGGAGUACGGUCGCAAGAUUAAAACUUAAGAAGUAGACGGCGUGAGACGAGCGACGACGACGACGAGGAGGAGGAGG